RNAcentral lists this small RNA (120 nucleotides) under Mesorhizobium australicum. Its description in RNAcentral is "Alphaproteobacterial ar14". It matches the Rfam family "Alphaproteobacterial ar14". Rfam says of the family: Smr14C2 was renamed NfeR1 (Nodule Formation Efficiency RNA) highly expressed in salt stress and during the symbiotic interaction on legume roots. The record is from Rfam by way of RNAcentral. Lineage: Bacteria; Pseudomonadati; Pseudomonadota; Alphaproteobacteria; Hyphomicrobiales; Phyllobacteriaceae.
AGAAAUCUCGCCAGGGUCUACCUCCUCCCAGACCCUGUGAGAUACGGCCGGAGUUUACCUCCUCCCAAACGACGGCCACCGAGACACCCGCCGGACCUCCUCCCCCGGCGGGUGUUUUCG